CGGCCUUGACAUACUAAGAACUUUCAGAGAUGGAUUGGUGCCUUCGGGAACUUAGAUACAGGUGCUGCAUGGCUGUCGUCAGCUCGUGUCGUGAGAUGUUGGGUUAAGUCCCGCAACGAGCGCAACCCUUUUCCUUAUUUGCCAGCGGGUCAUGCCGGGAACUUUAAGGAUACUGCCAGUGACAAACUGGAGGAAGGCGGGGACGACGUCAAGUCAUCAUGGCCCUUACGGCCAGGGCUACACACGUGCUACAAUGGUCGGUACAAAGGGUUGCUACCUCGCGAGAGGAUGCUAAUCUCAAAAAGCCGAUCGUAGUCCGGAUCGCAGUCUGCAACUCGACUGCGUGAAGUCGGAAUCGCUAGUAAUCGCGGAUCAGAAUGCCGCGGUGAAUACGUUCCCGGGCCUUGUACACACCGCCCGUCACACCAUGGGAGUUUGUUGCACCAGAAGUAGGUAGUCUAACCGCAAGGAGGACGCUUACCACGGUGUGGCCGAUGACUGGGGUGAAGUCGUAACAAGGUAGGCGUAGAUGA
Molecule: ribosomal RNA, 533 nt
Filed under: uncultured bacterium
Lineage: Bacteria
Description: bacterial SSU rRNA
Rfam family: Bacterial small subunit ribosomal RNA
Source: RNAcentral